UGGGGAAUUUUGGACAAUGGGCGAAAGCCUGAUCCAGCAAUGCCGCGUGUGUGAAGAAGGCCUUCGGGUUGUAAAGCACUUUUGUCCGGAAAGAAAUCCUUGGCUCUAAUACAGUCGGGGGAUGACGGUACCGGAAGAAUAAGCACCGGCUAACUACGUGCCAGCAGCCGCGGUAAUACGUAGGGUGCAAGCGUUAAUCGGAAUUACUGGGCGUAAAGCGUGCGCAGGCGGUUUGCUAAGACCGAUGUGAAAUCCCCGGGCUCAACCUGGGAACUGCAUUGGUGACUGGCAGGCUAGAGUAUGGCAGAGGGGGGUAGAAUUCUACGUGUAGCAGUGAAAUGCGUAGAGAUGUGGAGGAAUACCGAUGGCGAAGGCAGCCCCCUGGGCCAAUACUGACGCUCAUGCACGAAAGCGUGGGGAGCAAACAGGAUUAGAUACCCUGGUAGUCCACGCCCUAAACGAUGUCAACUAGUUGUUGGGGAUUCAUUUCCUUAGUAACGUAGCUAACGCGUGAAGUUGACCGCCUGGGGAGUACGGUCGCAAGAUUAAAACUC
RNAcentral lists this ribosomal RNA (554 nucleotides) under uncultured bacterium. Its description in RNAcentral is "partial 16S ribosomal RNA". It matches the Rfam family "Bacterial small subunit ribosomal RNA", at positions 355 to 902 of the family's 1533-position model. The record is from RNAcentral.